Molecule: ribosomal RNA, 253 nt
Filed under: uncultured bacterium
Lineage: Bacteria
Description: partial 16S ribosomal RNA
Rfam family: Bacterial small subunit ribosomal RNA
Source: RNAcentral
UACGGGGGGGGCAAGCGUUGUUCGGAAUUACUGGGCGUAAAGGGUCUGUAGGUGGCCAACUAAGUCAGACGUGAAAUCCCUCAGCUUAACUGGGGAACUGCGUCUGAUACUGGUUGGCUUGAGUGCAGGAGAGGAAUGCGGAAUUCCAGGUGUAGCGGUGAAAUGCGUAGAUAUCAAGAGGAACACCUGCGGCGAAGGCGGGUUGCUGGGCCGACACUGACGCUGAGGCGCGAAAGCCAGGGGAGCGAACGGG